Molecule: ribosomal RNA, 522 nt
Filed under: uncultured bacterium
Lineage: Bacteria
Description: bacterial SSU rRNA
Rfam family: Bacterial small subunit ribosomal RNA
Source: RNAcentral
AAUAGAUACCCCGGUAGUCCACGCUGUAAACGAUGUCAACUAGCUGUUGGCUAUAUGAAUAUAGUUAGUGGCGCAGCAAACGCGAUAAGUUGACCGCCUGGGGAGUACGGUCGCAAGAUUAAAACCCAAAGGAAUUGACGGGGGCCCGCACAAGCGGUGGAGCAUGUGGUUUAAUUCGAUGCAACGCGAAGAACCUUACCUACCCUUGACAUACAGUGGAGCUUGCAGAGAUGUGAGUGUGCCUUCGGGAACACUGAUACAGGUGCUGCAUGGCUGUCGUCAGCUCGUGUCGUGAGAUGUUGGGUUAAGUCCCGUAACGAGCGCAACCCUUAUCCUUAGUUGCCAGCACGUAAAGGUGGGAACUCUAAGGAGACUGCCGGUGACAAACCGGAGGAAGGCGGGGACGACGUCAAGUCAUCAUGGCCCUUACGGGUAGGGCUACACACGUGCUACAAUGGUUGAUACAGAGGGCAGCGAAGGGGCGACCUGGAGCAAAUCUUAGAAAGUCAAUCGUAGUCCGGA